GCUCCCUUCGUCUAGCGGUUAGGACAUCGCCCUCUCAAGGCGGGAACACGGGUUCGAGUCCCGUAGGGAGCGCCA
RNAcentral lists this transfer RNA (75 nucleotides) under Gammaproteobacteria bacterium. Its description in RNAcentral is "tRNA-Glu". It matches the Rfam family "tRNA". Rfam says of the family: Transfer RNA (tRNA) molecules are approximately 80 nucleotides in length. Their secondary structure includes four short double-helical elements and three loops (D, anti-codon, and T loops). The record is from RNAcentral. RNAcentral also lists the same sequence under 1 other name. Lineage: Bacteria; Pseudomonadati; Pseudomonadota; Gammaproteobacteria.